This is a long non-coding RNA of Varroa destructor (honeybee mite), 1616 nucleotides long. Lineage: Eukaryota; Metazoa; Arthropoda; Arachnida; Mesostigmata; Varroidae. The record is from RefSeq and is a predicted model, not a curated record.
GCUAUGAUGCAAAUGUAUUGAACAGGAAAAAAAAAUCAUACGGGUCAACUAGUUUUUAAAUGACAAAAGGGGAUGGACUCGUACUUCAAAAUGACCGAUAUAAUAAUAACGUACUCAACUUCAAAGAUGCAAUUGUUGCGCCACAUUGCACCUGAUCUGCUGUCAGCUAUUCACAGUCGACUCAUGAAUGAGCUCUACCGGACAAAUGUUUUACUAAUUCGUCUCCUUGUUUCAUGUUUUUUCACCUCAAACCUCGACGUAAAUAAGAACUUGAGUUCGCUUUGCACACGAUAAAGCCUGAUGUCAAGGAAGAUGGCAGAUCUUUAUGUAUGAAAAUUUGAAGUAAAAGAAAGUGAAGCUCGACGUCGGUCCACUGAUCUCUGUACGAACAAAUCAUUACUCUGCGGCUUCUUAGCAAAAGCUGAAAAGCGCAAUCUUCAAGCACGAAGUGCGGGGUUGCCGUUCGUUCCUAAUGGUUGCCUAUUCUGGUUCACUCUAAAUGAAUGUCUACGUCGUUGGUCGUAGAAACGUGGUCCUGGCCUCGCUUUCAAUAGGUAAAUACACAUAGAAUUCAUGCAUGAAGACCUAUGUAAUAGAUAUCUAUCAAUAACAGUAUCAUAGCGGUAUUCUUAAACCAGCCGCACACAGUGCGAUGUGUAUCAUAUGCACUUGUGAUUUAUAUGGUUUUUUCUCUUUGGUUUGAUCCUUUGUUAAGAACCGCAUAGGACUUUCCUCUUCAUUCACUUUUAUUUAUGAUGAUUUGCUGAUAAGAUUAUAACAGGAGAAAAGGCGCACAGAAGAAAUAGCGCAGUUUUUUACAUUUAUUUGAAAUCCGUUCUUCUAAAAGACCCAUACUAGUGUUCCGUAGAGCCUUCCAGAUUUCAUCGUACAAUUCAUCUUACCGAAAGGAAAAUGUGGUUUUAUUUGAUCUCUGUGUUUUUUCCAGUUGCGAUCCUAUGCUAAGCAGGCGAAGCUUGCCCGCUCAGCCGGAUAGAAUUUUUUUGCUUCUAUGACCUUAUAUUUUCAAUUCGCCUGCCCCCUAGCACCAGUUCACUGCGUUCUCAUCACUAUCCGGCGAUGAUGGGUGUUCAAGUACCGUAAAUGGAACGAGCCCCGUCUACUAAUUCUACCUCGAUGUUAUGGGUCUACUUUUAGGGUAUAUGACUCAUCAGAAUAUCACUUUUCAUAGAAAUCAAUGUGAGAGCAAUAAACGAGUCAAGCGUUUGAGCAGGUCACUAACAAACUUGGCAUCAGAGGACCACUUGUUCGAUAACUGAUAAUUUUAAUAGCAUUUUGCAAUAAAUGAUUAAUCUUCCUGGUUUGAUAGUAAGAAUACAUUUACACAAAGCGGGCCAGCAUUGAUAAAACGAUCGCUUCUAACCUGGAUGCUGGAGUACUCUACUCUACUGCCUAUUGCCUUAACGCAAAUAUAAAUACGUGUCCGGUGGCUAUCACGAUUUCCAUUCUGGCUCCUUCUGGCUUUAAUGAAGCAUUCUACGUGCUCUAUUGCGAUGUAGUUAUCAAAUGCACAAAUAAUGGGGUCGUCUAUUCAUAACAAUGGCCAUUGCUUCCAACGCUUCGCUUGAAGCCGAUCAAAUCUUCAGGCGUUAGGUCAC